Balaenoptera musculus (blue whale) is the source of this 753-nucleotide long non-coding RNA. RefSeq lists it as uncharacterized. The record is from RefSeq and is a predicted model, not a curated record. Lineage: Eukaryota; Metazoa; Chordata; Mammalia; Artiodactyla; Balaenopteridae. The transcript is spliced from 4 exons.
UGCCCAUGUCUCGGGGCCCCGGACUCUUCCGCGGUCUGCACCGGCGGCGGCGGCGGCGGCGGCGGCUCCUUCCACACACGCGGGUGGUGGCAGGUGUUCUACAUGACCCGUAAGUGGGAGAGGAAUGGAAGUGAUCCCCCCCUCAGCCUUCCAAAAGUUGGGAUCCAGAGUAUUGCCCCCACGGUGGUGUCUUUUUGGUGUUUCAGAUCUCAUGCUAGAUCAGUGUCUGAAAGCUUUGAUAACAUCGACUUGGAUAUCCAAACUCCUUUGUAAAAUUCUGCACAAGUUUCCUGUAAGACAGCACCUCUCCUUGUGUAACCUGGAAGCCUGACAGGACUAGAGGGCAUUUGGCUCCAACUGGCAUCCCUACCCACCACCUGGCUCUGCUGAACUGCCCCGACGCCCCAGCCGCAUGUGAGAGCUCACCUACUGUGCUCCGGGAAGUCUGUGCCUAAGCUAAGCAGCAGUUCUUUAUUUGCCUCUGAGUCACUCUUGGGACAUGACAUCAUGGGCUAACUUCAACUUGAUGGAAAGUCUUCGGGGCCCCUCAGUCUUCCUGCAGGAGGCAGAUGUGCAGGGCCUGGGAGCCCUUGGCAGUUGGAGUGGACAACCUCAUAGAGGUGUCAAAGGAGCCCAUCAAGACAAGUUCAGGGUCCCUGUGAAGUUGGGCAGAGAACCUGUGCCUAAGAAUUCUCAGAGGUGUUACCUCCUCAACCCUGGUUUCAAGAAUGAACACAUCAGGACUUCCCUGGU